Syngnathus acus (greater pipefish) is the source of this 221-nucleotide long non-coding RNA. RefSeq lists it as uncharacterized. The transcript has 3 exons. Lineage: Eukaryota; Metazoa; Chordata; Actinopteri; Syngnathiformes; Syngnathidae. The record is from RefSeq and is a predicted model, not a curated record.
UCUUCUUCCGUGUCCGAAUUGAAGAGUUUUUUUGAACAGUUGAACGAUAUACAAUACAAACAUUGCACAAUAACACGACGUUGUUCAAAUGUUAAUGUACAUAUUUACAUAUCCCCGUCCACAAAUCCGCCGAAUUCUUCCUCUUCCGUGUCCGAAUUCAACAGUUGGGCGAGUGCGGCAUUCAUUAUGCCCGGCUCCCUCUCAAGUCAAUUCAAAGUCAA